GGACCGCUUAUAGUUAAUUACUGUGAAAAAGUGGCUACACCGCGAUGUGCCGAAAGGUGAGAGGCUUGCUGCCUGAAGAUGACCUCGCGUCUGAUUAGCUAGUUGGUGUGGUAAGAGCGCACCAAGGCGACGAUCAGUAGCUGGUCUGAGAGGAUGAUCAGCCACACUGGGACUGAGAACACGGCCCAGACUCCUACGGGAGGCAGCCAGUGGGGAAGUUUUCCGUCAAUGGGCGAAAGCCUGACGGAGCAAUACCGCGUGAUGGGAGGAAGGCUUCUUGGGUUGGUUAAACCUUCUUUUCUUCAAGGAAUAACAAAAUGAAGGUACUUGAGGAAUCAGGCAUCGGCUAACUUCCGUGUCCAGCCAGCCGCGGUAAUACGGAGGAUGGCAAGCGUUAUCCGGGAAUGAUUGGGCGUAAAGCGUCCGCAGGUGGCUAUGUAAGUCUGCUGUUAAAGAGCAAAAGCUUAACUUUGUAAAAGGCAGUGGAAACUACAUAGCUAGAGUGCGUUCGGGGGUAGAGGGAAUUUCCUGGUGUAGCGGUGAAAUGCGUAGAGAUCAGGAAAGAACACCCGGUGGCGAAGGCGCUCUACUAGGCCGCAACUGACACUGAGGGACGAAAGCUAGGGGAGCGAAUGGGAUUAGAUACCCCCAGUAGUCCUAGCCGUAAAACGAUGGAUACUAGGCGUUGCGAGUAUCGACCCUCGCAGUGCCGGAGCCAACGCGUUAAGUAUCCCGCCUGGGGGAGUACGCACGCAAGUGUGAAAACUCAAAAGGAAUUGACGGGGGCCCGCACAAAGCGGUGGAGUAUGUGGUUUUAAUUCGAUGCAACGCGAAGAAACCUUACCAAGACUUGACAUGUCGCGAAUCUUCUUGAAAGGGAAGAGUGCCUUCGGGAAGCGCGAACACAGGUGGUGCAUGGCUGUCGUCAGCUCGUGUCGUGAGAUGUUGGGUUAAGUCCCCGCAAACGAGCGCAACCCCUCGUUUUUAGUUGCCAGCAUUAAGUUGGGGCACUCCUAGAGAGACUGCCGGUUGAACAAACCGGAGGAAGGUGGGGGGAUGACGUCAAGUCAGCAUGCCCCUUACGUCUUGGGGCUACACACSUACUACAAUGGCUACGAACAGAGGGCAGCAAGCGUGCGAACGCAAGCAAAUCCCGGAAAUCGUAGCUCAGUUCAGAUAGAAGGCUGCAACUCGCCUUCGUGAAGGAGGAAUCGCUAGUAAUUGCAGGUCAGCAUACUGCAGUGAAUUCGUUCCCGGGCCUUGUACACACCGCCCGUCACACCACGGAAGCUGGCAACGCCCGAAGUCAUUACCCCUACUAUUCUGAGAGGCAGUUCAAUUCUGUCCC
RNAcentral lists this ribosomal RNA (1348 nucleotides) under Nostoc sp. NTDV47. RNAcentral describes it as "bacterial SSU rRNA". It matches the Rfam family "Bacterial small subunit ribosomal RNA", at positions 135 to 1468 of the family's 1533-position model. Lineage: Bacteria; Bacillati; Cyanobacteriota; Cyanophyceae; Nostocales; Nostocaceae. The record is from RNAcentral.